This 460-nucleotide ribosomal RNA is filed under the name uncultured bacterium. Its description in RNAcentral is "partial 16S ribosomal RNA". It matches the Rfam family "Bacterial small subunit ribosomal RNA", at positions 338 to 795 of the family's 1533-position model. The record is from RNAcentral.
CCUACGGGCGGCAGCAGUGAGGAAUAUUGGUCAAUGGGCGGAAGCCUGAACCAGCCAAGUAGCGUGCAGGAUGACGGCCCUACGGGUUGUAAACUGCUUUUAUACGGGAAUAACGCGCCUUACGUGUAGGGCUUUGCAUGUACCGUAUGAAUAAGGACCGGCUAAUUCCAUGCCAGCAGCCGCGGUAAUACGGAAGGUCCGGGCGUUAUCCGGAUUUAGUGGGUUUAAAGGGAGCGUAGGCCGCAUGUCAAGCGUGAUGUGAAAUGUCCGGGCUCAACCCGGGCCUUGCAGCGCGAACUGGCGUGCUUGAGUCCGCGGAAGGCAGGUGGAAUUCGUGGUGUAGCGGUGAAAGGCUUAGAGAUGACGAAGAAUCCCGAUGGCGAAGGCAGCUUGCUGCAGCGGAACUGACGCUGAUGUUCGAAAGCGCGGGUAUCGAACAGGAUUAGAUACCCGAGUAGUC